Molecule: long non-coding RNA, 1512 nt
Organism: Austrofundulus limnaeus
Lineage: Eukaryota; Metazoa; Chordata; Actinopteri; Cyprinodontiformes; Rivulidae
Exons: 2
Source: RefSeq, a predicted model, not a curated record
CCUGUAUGAUUUUGAACACAUUUAGACAAGAACACAAAGGGCGGUGACAGAAAUGAAACGUUCAGAAUGACUGCAGCUGCAGCUGUCCAAGUUCUUUCUUUCCAGCUGACAAAGAUGUUUUCAUUUGUCUGAAAUCAGAGCUUCAUCUGAGGGUUUUCCCUCUGCAGAGACUUCCUAUAGGCUGUAUGUAAACAAUCGGCCCCCAGAAGGCCUCUUUGAAACAGUUUGGACAAAGCCACGCUCCAUUACAGGUAUUACAAAAGGAACAAAAAGUCAACGCCCACUACAAAUCACCAACCAGAGGGAUUAGUCCAAUCCCUCUGUCUCCAUGCUGUUGCUGAUAAAAAGCUUAUUACAGUCGAAAUUGGUUAGUCAUUCUACAGAUUUGUUGUAACCGAGGGCCUAAAGGAUGGGUUUGGAGUGUUGUGAUCAGCGCUCAGUUUAAAUUUAAACUCUUUCGUCCCCCAGUGAUUGUUUGUGUGAGUGAAACUGUUGGGAGAAGAGGGGAAACAGAAGUCCAACGUGCAUUUCCUGCAGACAUAUGCUUUGAUUUCAGCCUGGCCAAACACAAUGGGGAGGGAGACUGCCCUCGCUCAGCAACGACCCAACAGGAAGAAGCGUGUUCACCCGACAGGACAGAAGACAUUCCAAUGGGACGCUUCAGUCUUCAGCCCCGACACGUCUCUCAGCAGAGUGGCAGCAGUGGCGCCGGGGCAUCGACCUUUUAGACACAACUACUGUAUCACUCAACGUCUAAUCCCUUCCCCCCACCCCUUCCAUCUUCCUCCUUCCUUCUCUUUAGUCAUCUCCUUCUUCCUCCGAUUAUGAAACGAGGAUUUAUUCUCGUCCCCUCCACUUGCACCGUCAUUUACCAUCAGAGAGCUGUUUUUGACAGUUAUUGUGAUUCAUGCUUGUUGUGUGUGAAAAUCAGACGACUGUGACUAAUUCUGAGUGUCUCCGCAAAAAAAAGCAUGUCCAACUGAAUCGUCCGCUCAGUUUCUUUUUCGACAUAUAUGCUAGACAUGUAGUUGGUGUUUCAGUGAUGCUGAGAUGUUCGAAGCUGUCGGGAGAAAAAGGUCACGUUUUUGUUUUUGAGAAUGACAAGUUCCUGUAAGCCGACUGGAGAGCAUCCAUCACUUGGUUCAGCACGUCGGAGUCGCUUCUUUCACAACCUUCAGCUCUUGUUUUUCUUUCUAAUGGCCCUCAUGUGUGUGUCGUAUUAUUGUUCUCUCGUGUGUGGCCCCGUGUUGUAAACCACACACCAUGCAUGUCCAUAUUUUCCUUUUUUUUCUUUAACUACAUUAACACAUCAUGCCCCCGCCUCUAGUCUUUUGAGUGGCAGUGAUUCAUCCGGGAUGAGUCAGUUCAUUUCCGGGUUCUGAGAACAUGAACAGAAACAGAGACAAAGAAUUUUAAAGGCUUUCAUCUUCUGUCACGAUCGUGUUUUCACGUUUACAGCCCGGUUUUUGGGUACACUAAAAGAGGACAAGGUGUGUGUUCUUGUUAUUUAAG